This 200-nucleotide ribosomal RNA is filed under the name uncultured bacterium. RNAcentral describes it as "partial 16S ribosomal RNA". It matches the Rfam family "Bacterial small subunit ribosomal RNA", at positions 328 to 539 of the family's 1533-position model. The record is from RNAcentral.
ACGCUCGACACCUACGGGAGGCAGCAGUGGGGAAUAUUGCACAAUGGGGGAAACCCUGAUGCAGCGACGCCGCGUGGAGGAAGAAGGUCUUCGGAUUGUAAACUCCUGUUGUUAGGGGAAAAAGAGGAUGGUACCCAACAAGGAAGUAGACGGCUAACUACGUGCCAGUAGCCGCGGUAAUCUGAGCGGGCUGGCAAGGC